This 2566-nucleotide ribosomal RNA is filed under the name Escherichia coli. RNAcentral describes it as "partial 23S ribosomal RNA". It matches the Rfam family "Bacterial large subunit ribosomal RNA", at positions 397 to 2925 of the family's 2925-position model. RNAcentral also lists the same sequence under 1 other name. Lineage: Bacteria; Pseudomonadati; Pseudomonadota; Gammaproteobacteria; Enterobacterales; Enterobacteriaceae. The record is from RNAcentral.
CUGUGAGCUCGAUGAGUAGGGCGGGACACGUGGUAUCCUGUCUGAAUAUGGGGGGACCAUCCUCCAAGGCUAAAUACUCCUGACUGACCGAUAGUGAACCAGUACCGUGAGGGAAAGGCGAAAAGAACCCCGGCGAGGGGAGUGAAAAAGAACCUGAAACCGUGUACGUACAAGCAGUGGGAGCACGCUUAGGCGUGUGACUGCGUACCUUUUGUAUAAUGGGUCAGCGACUUAUAUUCUGUAGCAAGGUUAACCGAAUAGGGGAGCCGAAGGGAAACCGAGUCUUAACUGGGCGUUAAGUUGCAGGGUAUAGACCCGAAACCCGGUGAUCUAGCCAUGGGCAGGUUGAAGGUUGGGUAACACUAACUGGAGGACCGAACCGACUAAUGUUGAAAAAUUAGCGGAUGACUUGUGGCUGGGGGUGAAAGGCCAAUCAAACCGGGAGAUAGCUGGUUCUCCCCGAAAGCUAUUUAGGUAGCGCCUCGUGAAUUCAUCUCCGGGGGUAGAGCACUGUUUCGGCAAGGGGGUCAUCCCGACUUACCAACCCGAUGCAAACUGCGAAUACCGGAGAAUGUUAUCACGGGAGACACACGGCGGGUGCUAACGUCCGUCGUGAAGAGGGAAACAACCCAGACCGCCAGCUAAGGUCCCAAAGUCAUGGUUAAGUGGGAAACGAUGUGGGAAGGCCCAGACAGCCAGGAUGUUGGCUUAGAAGCAGCCAUCAUUUAAAGAAAGCGUAAUAGCUCACUGGUCGAGUCGGCCUGCGCGGAAGAUGUAACGGGGCUAAACCAUGCACCGAAGCUGCGGCAGCGACGCUUAUGCGUUGUUGGGUAGGGGAGCGUUCUGUAAGCCUGCGAAGGUGUGCUGUGAGGCAUGCUGGAGGUAUCAGAAGUGCGAAUGCUGACAUAAGUAACGAUAAAGCGGGUGAAAAGCCCGCUCGCCGGAAGACCAAGGGUUCCUGUCCAACGUUAAUCGGGGCAGGGUGAGUCGACCCCUAAGGCGAGGCCGAAAGGCGUAGUCGAUGGGAAACAGGUUAAUAUUCCUGUACUUGGUGUUACUGCGAAGGGGGGACGGAGAAGGCUAUGUUGGCCGGGCGACGGUUGUCCCGGUUUAAGCGUGUAGGCUGGUUUUCCAGGCAAAUCCGGAAAAUCAAGGCUGAGGCGUGAUGACGAGGCACUACGGUGCUGAAGCAACAAAUGCCCUGCUUCCAGGAAAAGCCUCUAAGCAUCAGGUAACAUCAAAUCGUACCCCAAACCGACACAGGUGGUCAGGUAGAGAAUACCAAGGCGCUUGAGAGAACUCGGGUGAAGGAACUAGGCAAAAUGGUGCCGUAACUUCGGGAGAAGGCACGCUGAUAUGUAGGUGAAGUCCCUCGCGGAUGGAGCUGAAAUCAGUCGAAGAUACCAGCUGGCUGCAACUGUUUAUUAAAAACACAGCACUGUGCAAACACGAAAGUGGACGUAUACGGUGUGACGCCUGCCCGGUGCCGGAAGGUUAAUUGAUGGGGUCAGCGCAAGCGAAGCUCUUGAUCGAAGCCCCGGUAAACGGCGGCCGUAACUAUAACGGUCCUAAGGUAGCGAAAUUCCUUGUCGGGUAAGUUCCGACCUGCACGAAUGGCGUAAUGAUGGCCAGGCUGUCUCCACCCGAGACUCAGUGAAAUUGAACUCGCUGUGAAGAUGCAGUGUACCCGCGGCAAGACGGAAAGACCCCGUGAACCUUUACUAUAGCUUGACACUGAACAUUGAGCCUUGAUGUGUAGGAUAGGUGGGAGGCUUUGAAGUGUGGACGCCAGUCUGCAUGGAGCCGACCUUGAAAUACCACCCUUUAAUGUUUGAUGUUCUAACGUUGACCCGUAAUCCGGGUUGCGGACAGUGUCUGGUGGGUAGUUUGACUGGGGCGGUCUCCUCCUAAAGAGUAACGGAGGAGCACGAAGGUUGGCUAAUCCUGGUCGGACAUCAGGAGGUUAGUGCAAUGGCAUAAGCCAGCUUGACUGCGAGCGUGACGGCGCGAGCAGGUGCGAAAGCAGGUCAUAGUGAUCCGGUGGUUCUGAAUGGAAGGGCCAUCGCUCAACGGAUAAAAGGUACUCCGGGGAUAACAGGCUGAUACCGCCCAAGAGUUCAUAUCGACGGCGGUGUUUGGCACCUCGAUGUCGGCUCAUCACAUCCUGGGGCUGAAGUAGGUCCCAAGGGUAUGGCUGUUCGCCAUUUAAAGUGGUACGCGAGCUGGGUUUAGAACGUCGUGAGACAGUUCGGUCCCUAUCUGCCGUGGGCGCUGGAGAACUGAGGGGGGCUGCUCCUAGUACGAGAGGACCGGAGUGGACGCAUCACUGGUGUUCGGGUUGUCAUGCCAAUGGCACUGCCCGGUAGCUAAAUGCGGAAGAGAUAAGUGCUGAAAGCAUCUAAGCACGAAACUUGCCCCGAGAUGAGUUCUCCCUGACUCCUUGAGAGUCCUGAAGGAACGUUGAAGACGACGACGUUGAUAGGCCGGGUGUGUAAGCGCAGCGAUGCGUUGAGCUAACCGGUACUAAUGAACCGUGAGGCUUAACCUUACAACGCCGAAGGUGUUU